This 3809-nucleotide long non-coding RNA is filed under the name Heterocephalus glaber (naked mole-rat). RNAcentral describes it as "lncRNA (ENSHGLG00100035029.1)". The record is from RNAcentral. Lineage: Eukaryota; Metazoa; Chordata; Mammalia; Rodentia; Bathyergidae.
GACGGGCCCGGGGAGGCUUCCUAAAGAGGGGCUUUGUACAAGGGGUUGGCGCACGCCUGUCAUCCCAGCGCUUGGGAGGCUGAGGCAGGAGGAUCGCCAUGAGUUCAAGGCCAGCCUGGACUACACAGGGAGACCCUGUCUCAACCCUCUCAAAGAAGCAGGACCCAGGGUGUGUGCGCUCCUGAGUGCUGUCGCCCGCGGCGUGGCUCUGACAGAAGGCAAACCAGUUCCCUCCGUCCGUGGGAAGGUGGCCCCUAAGAGCUCCGCUCCUCGAGGUGUACCUGUGAUCUGAGCCUCAGUUUCCUCAUCCACAACCCACCAACCAGGGUCUACAGGAGGCUGGGAAGUGCGUUCGACCCAGGCGACCACUGCCCGGGCCCACAUGGUGCGGUGGCCUUGGGCAGCCAAGGUGGCGUCCUGAACCCUGGCGGACCAGGGGCUGGCGGAUCCGGGAACCUCCUGGGCCGGAAGUGGGCGUGGCUGGAGAUCUGCACGGUUUUGUCUUCUGUUCCUGGCCUCAGGCUCGUUUGCUGACCAGAUCAAAGGAGGUCAUUUAUCUGGGUAAAAAGGGCCAGGGGCUUAUUCAACGCUUGCUCUGAAGGAAUGGAGGGGCCCAGUCACCUCAAAUCGCUGUCUGCUGGGGCUCAGGCUUGGAGUCUUUCAUGGGGGGACAGAGGGGGCGGACGGGGAGAGGCAGUGCCUGUCUCCAGGAGGCUUCAGCUCAGCGCCCCUUUUCUUGUGGAAAGGAAGCCGGGCUCCCCGGCUCCAGCACCAGCAUAUUCUGUCCCUUCUUGGGGGCUGAGGAGAGGGGCUGGUUUGCUAUGUGCUCAGCAGGAGGAAGCUUGGAGACCUUAUCUCUAAAAGAAAACAUGUCUCACCUUGAAAGUUCCACACCUGUCAUCCCACCCCUCGGGGAGACUGAGGCAGGAGGAUGCUUGUCUCCUGUUCUGUCUCAGUAAGAAGAAGACACCUUGCCUCAUCUUCCAAACUCCUACUCAUACCUCAAAACCCCAUUUACAAUACCACCUCCUCUUCGUGACUAUAAAAGCCCUGGCCUCUCCCCCUGGGCUCCUCUAAUCCUUUCUCUCUCCUCAGUUUCUUCAUCUAUAAAAUGAGGGAAACCCUGUUUUGGGAGAGGUCUGGGGAAUGUCCUUGGCUCCCAGCAAGCUCAUGAUCAACGCAAUGCCCGGUACAUGAAUGGCGAUUAUGCGUCCUAGGUAGAGUGGGGACACUGCAGGCUGAGGCAGCCAUCGCUUGCGCUUUCCUGAGUGGCAUCAGGGACUUGGGCCUGUGACUCAGCUGCUCUCUGGGAGGCCCUGCUUCCCCUGAGGGGCCUCAGCUCUUGGGGUGAAGCCCAGGCCCCUGGGUUUCCUGCUCUGUGGCUUCAGGAAGGAAGCGGCCGCCUGCCCCAGGUAGGGACAGCCAUUGAGGGCCCAGGGCAAGGUCCCCUCCCCGAAGACUGGCACACCGGUGUGCAAGCAGGCCAGGCCAAUGUGGCGGUCGCCCCGGGGUGCCCUUCCGUGCCUGGGCCCUGCCUGGGGCUCACCGCCUCCACUGCCAGCUCUGGGCCUGUUAUCUCCUCCUGGGCGGGGGCUGCCAUGCGGCACGCAGGAGCCUGCACCUCCUGGUGGCUCUGGUUUUCAGAAAGUGGGGCCCCUUGUGAGGCCAGGCCGGCUGUUUGCUCGGGGUGACCUCUGGACCGCCAGGUGGCGCACACUCCUAUCUUGGCAGGUGGGGCCCUUUAACCCACCCCUCCACUGGGAAUGAUGCCCUGGUCUGGGGGUCCCCAACCACACCUCUGGCACAGAGCAACGAAUCGGCUGAGUCCCUGCCCGAGUCAGCGUUUGUUUUUUUAAGGUGAAAUUCACAUAACAGGAAAUGAACCAUUUAAAGGGGCCCUGGGGACAGUCACGGACUUGCACGAGUGAUCUAGGGGUGACAGGAGGCCCCCACGGACAGAGGGACAGAUUACAUCUCCCAACCUGCUAGGUGUCUGAAACACAGAGUUCCUGUUCCCUAAAAUCCAAGAAUAACUUUUAGGGACAAUGGAGGUUUAGAGUAGGAAAUAUUUAUUGAGGGAAAGACAGCUUCUGAGACAGACAGAAUGGGACCCGGAAAGCGGGUUGCCCACGAGGCCUCUUCUCAAAGAAGUUUUAUACAGCAAAGUCACGAGGUGGGCAUCGGGUGGGACAAUCUAUGGUCAACCGGUAAGAUUGCAGUGAACCCUCUCGGGUAACACUGCUCCGGGGCGAAGGCAGCUCACGUGGCAGGUGUGCAGGAAAGGAACAAGGCCCUUCCAGGAAGGCGUGGGGCAGGGCCUCGGUCCCCCGCGCAGGUGAUUGAUGCCUAUUUACCAGUCAUUGUUUCUCCCUGGCGAAGCACCUGUGAACAUUUCACCCCUGACUUGAGGCCUGGCCUCCAACAGCUGCGCCUCCACCCACAGCUGUAAAGUGUCUUCGUCUUCGGCACUGACUCCUUUGAGGGCCCAGCCAUGUUGACUGCCUACAAUAUUUCUACCUAACUUAGCUGUCUAUGAUACAAGCACCAGCCAGGCAUGGUGGCACAGGCCUAGCAUCCCAGUACUCAGGAGGCUGAGGCAGGAGAACCUGGGAGUUUGAAGCCAACCUGGGUUCCUUGAGACCCUGUCUUAAUAAGGAAACAACAGAAAAACAAACACAAACAAGUGUGUACAACCACCACUUUACCUCUGCUUCUGGAGCAUUUCCCACCCUCGUAGCAGACCUGCCCCUGUCUGCUCCGCAGCCUCCUGGCAGCCACCCAGCUGCGUCCUGUCUCUGGGUUUUCCUGCUCUGGUCUGGAAAGUUCUUAUCAACGACCAAGAUGAGACACUGGCAUGUACCAGUUCCCUGAGAGAAAUUAAAAUUCGGAAAGAAAACCAAAACAACAGGCUCACACAGCCUCGGGCGGCUGGCUUCGAGGGUCAGCCCGGUGGUCGCCGGGGUCGUGUCUGUGCCUUUCCACCAUCGAGUGAUAGCCCGCCGGGUGGCUGCUCACGCUCGUGGGCCUGUGCAUCUGCCGACAGGCCCUUGGCUGCGGCCAGCUCCGGCUGUUGUGAGCAGUGCCUUUGUGAGCCAUGUGUGCAGGGUCUGCUCGCACGCUGUUCGGGAUUCUCCGGGAACUGACUGACUCCAGCAUCUGCCCGUUGUGACCUCGAGGUUCUGGGGUGAGGCCAUCAGGAGCUGCGUCUGUUGGAGGAGGGCAUGGCGACCGCCACCGACUCUCCCAGGCGACAGCUCCCUCCAGGGGCCCCGUGGGGUGACAGGGGCUCAAGCCAGUCUCGUGUUUACCAUGCAAAGCAGCGCUGACCCGGAGGUCACUGCCCUGCAGGAAGCCAGCCGAGUUUCGCGCUGGCCCCUCAGAGUCCACGCCCCGACCUGUCCCGCCCAGGGGCCCUCAGGGGGCGCUUUAUCCAGCAUUGCACAGGUGAGGAAACUGAGGCGCAGCCGGACACCCUUUCCUCCUCCGGAAGGAACAGGGGUCGGGGAGGAAGAGGAGGUGAGUCCUCCCUGAGCCCAAACCCCUAAAUGCACAACGUCCCGGACCUCUCCAGCCUGCAGCCUGCGGGUGUCAGGGGCUCCAGAACCUUGGAACCCCUGAAAGGAUCUGAGGACCCCUGGGUUCAACAUGCCUCCCAGCUAAGGUUUCCUCAGUGGAACACACGCUGGGCCUGGCCGGGGCCCAGCACCGGGGAACGCAGGGCGUGGCUUGCAACCCUCCAGCGCGGGAACUCCUCCCUCCCUCGCUGUGGCCCCGAGGGUGGGCCCGGGAGGACCAGAGCGGACCGAAGG